UACCGCCCGUCACACCAUGGGAGUUUGUUGCACCAGAAGCAGGUAGCUUAACCUUCGGGAGGGCGCUUGCCACGGUGUGGCCGAUGACUGGGGUG
RNAcentral lists this ribosomal RNA (95 nucleotides) under uncultured bacterium. RNAcentral's name for it is "partial 16S ribosomal RNA". It matches the Rfam family "Bacterial small subunit ribosomal RNA", at positions 1389 to 1482 of the family's 1533-position model. The record is from RNAcentral.